AAGAACAAGGAAGAGAAGUGGGUUAUUUUCUGUGCUUUUGUUCUUUGUUUUUCGCUCCUUUCUCGCUUCCCUCGUUCUCUUCUUUCACUCAGUCCAUUGAAAAGGAGCGAAACACAAAGGAAAAGCACAGGAAAUAAGACUUGGAAACAGAGGUUGGGUUAUUGUGUUCUUUUCUUUUUGCUUCAUUUCAAUGGAACGGAAAGAAAGAGA
RNAcentral lists this non-coding RNA (210 nucleotides) under Symbiodinium sp. CCMP2430. Lineage: Eukaryota; Dinophyceae; Suessiales; Symbiodiniaceae. The record is from RNAcentral.